This 253-nucleotide ribosomal RNA is filed under the name uncultured bacterium. RNAcentral's name for it is "partial 16S ribosomal RNA". It matches the Rfam family "Bacterial small subunit ribosomal RNA", at positions 524 to 776 of the family's 1533-position model. The record is from RNAcentral.
UACGAGAGGCCCAAACGUUAUUCGGAUUUACUGGGCUUAAAGAGUUCGUAGGCGGCGCAGAAAGUAGGGUGUGAAAGCCCUCGGCUCAACCGAGGAAUUGCGCUCUAAACUACUGUGCUUGAGGAAGCUAGAGGUGAGCGGAACUGAUGGUGGAGCGGUGAAAUGCGUUGAUAUCAUCAGGAACACCGGAGGCGAAGGCGGCUCACCGGGGCUUUUCUGACGCUGAGGAACGAAAGCCAGGGGAGCGAACGGG